Molecule: ribosomal RNA, 406 nt
Filed under: uncultured bacterium
Lineage: Bacteria
Description: bacterial SSU rRNA
Rfam family: Bacterial small subunit ribosomal RNA
Source: RNAcentral
UGGGGGAUAUUGCGCAAUGGGGGAAACCCUGACGCAGCAACGCCGCGUGAAGGAUGAAGGUCUUCGGAUUGUAAACUUCUUUUAUUAAGGACGAAGAAUGACGGUACUUAAUGAAUAAGCUCCGGCUAACUACGUGCCAGCAGCCGCGGUAAUACGUAGGGAGCAAGCGUUGUCCGGAUUUACUGGGUGUAAAGGGUGCGUAGGCGGCAAAGCAAGUCAGAUGUGAAAUGUAUGGGCUCAACCCAUGAACUGCAUUUGAAACUGCAUUGCUUGAGUGAAGUAGAGGCAGGCGGAAUUCCCUGUGUAGCGGUGAAAUGCGUAGAGAUAGGGAGGAACACCAGUGGCGAAGGCGGCCUGCUGGGCUUUAACUGACGCUGAGGCACGAAAGCGUGGGUAGCAAACAGGA